GCGUGGGUGAAGAAGGUCUUCGGAUUGUAAAGCCCUUUCGGCGGGGACGAUGAUGACGGUACCCGCAGAAGAAGCCCCGGCUAACUUCGUGCCAGCAGCCGCGGUAAUACGAAGGGGGCAAGCGUUGCUCGGAAUGACUGGGCGUAAAGGGCGCGUAGGCGGCCCUGUUUGUCAGGCGUGAAAGUCCUGGGCUCAACCUGGGGACGGCGCUUGGGACGGCGGGGCUUGAGUGGGGAAGAGGGUCGUGGAAUUCCCAGUGUAGAGGUGAAAUUCGU
This 275-nucleotide ribosomal RNA is filed under the name uncultured bacterium. RNAcentral's name for it is "partial 16S ribosomal RNA". It matches the Rfam family "Bacterial small subunit ribosomal RNA", at positions 399 to 691 of the family's 1533-position model. The record is from RNAcentral.